RNAcentral lists this unclassified non-coding RNA (344 nucleotides) under Hevea brasiliensis (rubber tree). Lineage: Eukaryota; Viridiplantae; Streptophyta; Magnoliopsida; Malpighiales; Euphorbiaceae. The record is from RNAcentral.
AUGGUAUUCAAAAACGCAUUGAACUGCAAACCGACCAAAUCUAAACAUCAUUAAGAAUGAAACCAACAUCACUGGUAUAAAUUUACUGACAAAAUUUUAGAAUUUCAACGCCUAAAAGUUCUUAAAAUAUUGUAAUUCUAAUAGAAAAAUACACAAAAUUCUUUGGAAGGAUUCAAGUGCAUGCAUACCAUGUUUUCCUUUAUGGCCAAAAACCAAAAUGAACACACUCUUACUAUUUUCAAUAAAUUUGUGUUUACUUAACAGUGAUUAUUUAACAUUAGAUUAACUCAGGAGACUUCAGUUGGUGUAGAUUGUACUUACCCAUCCUGCAUUGGUAUGAACAA